Molecule: ribosomal RNA, 498 nt
Filed under: uncultured bacterium
Lineage: Bacteria
Description: bacterial SSU rRNA
Rfam family: Bacterial small subunit ribosomal RNA
Source: RNAcentral
GACGAACGCUGGCGGCGUGGAUUAGGCAUGCAAGUCGAACGGUAUCAUCCUUUCGGGGGUGAGAGAGUGGCGAACUGGUGAGUAACACGUAGGUUAUCUACCCUCAAGACGGGGACAACCCAGGGAAACUUGGGCUAAUACCGGAUGUGAGCAACUUUUAGUUGUUUGAAAGGUGGCGUAAGCUGUCGCUUGGGGAUGAGCCUGCGUCCUAUUAGUUAGUUGGUGAGGUAACGGCUCACCUAGGCAAUGAUAGGUAGGCGGCCUUAACGGGUGGUCGCCCACACUGGGAUUGAGAUACGGCUCAGACUCCUACGGGAGGCAGCAGUCGAGAAUAGUCUACAAUGGUCGGAAGACUGAUAGUGCGACGCCGCGUGAACGAUGAAUCCCUUCGGGGUGUAAAGUUCUUUUAUAUGUGAGCAGUGCUUCUUAUAUUAACAGUAUGGGGAGAGAGAUAUUAGCAUAUGAAUAAGCAACGGCUAACUCCGUGCCAGCAGCCGC